Molecule: ribosomal RNA, 454 nt
Filed under: uncultured bacterium
Lineage: Bacteria
Description: partial 16S ribosomal RNA
Rfam family: Bacterial small subunit ribosomal RNA
Source: RNAcentral
GAUGAACGCUGACAGAAUGCUUAACACAUGCAAGUCAACUUGAACUUCGGUUUGGGUGGCGGACGGGUGAGUAACGCGUAAAGAACUUGCCUCACAGCUAGGGACAACAUUUGGAAACGAAUGCUAAUACCUGAUAUUAUGAUUAUAUGGCAUCGUAUAAUUAUGAAAGCUAUAUGCGCUGUGAGAGAGCUUUGCGUCCCAUUAGCUAGUUGGAGAGGUAACAGCUCACCAAGGCGAUGAUGGGUAGCCGGCCUGAAAGGGUGAUCGGCCACAAGGGGACUGAGACACGGCCCUUACUCCUACGGGAGGCAGCAGUGGGGAAUAUUGGACAAUGGACCGAGAGUCUGAUCCAGCAAUUCUGUGUGCACGAUGAAGUUUUUCGGAAUGUAAAGUGCUUUCAGUUGGGAAGAAAAAAAUGACGGUACCAACAGAAGAAGUGACGGCUAAAUACGUG